GGGGAAUUUUGGACAAUGGGCGAAAGCCUGAUCCAGCCAUGCCGCGUGCAGGAUGAAGGCCUUCGAGUUGUAAACUGCUUUUGUACGGAACGAAAAGCCUCUUUCUAAUAAAGAGAGGUCAUGACGGUACCGUAAGAAUAAGCACCGGCUAACUACGUGCCAGCAGCCGCGGUAAUACGUAGGGUGCGAGCGUUAAUCGGAAUUACUGGGCGUAAAGCGUGCGCAGGCGGUGAUGUAAGACAGAUGUGAAAUCCCCGGGCUCAACCUGGGAACUGCAUUUGUGACUGCAUCGCUGGAGUGCGGCAGAGGGGGAUGGAAUUCCGCGUGUAGCAGUGAAAUGCGUAGAUAUGCGGAGGAACACCGAUGGCGAAGGCAAUCCCCUGGGCCUGCACUGACGCUCAUGCACGAAAGCGUGGGGAGCAAACAGGAUUAGAUACCCUGGUAGUCCACGCCCUAAACGAUGUCAACUGGUUGUUGGGUCUUCACUGACUCAGUAACGAAGCUAACGCGUGAAGUUGACCGCCUGGGGAGUACGGCCGCAAGGUUG
Molecule: ribosomal RNA, 547 nt
Filed under: uncultured bacterium
Lineage: Bacteria
Description: bacterial SSU rRNA
Rfam family: Bacterial small subunit ribosomal RNA
Source: RNAcentral